This 402-nucleotide ribosomal RNA is filed under the name uncultured bacterium. RNAcentral describes it as "bacterial SSU rRNA". It matches the Rfam family "Bacterial small subunit ribosomal RNA", at positions 355 to 774 of the family's 1533-position model. The record is from RNAcentral.
UGAGGAAUAUUGGACAAUGGGGGCAACCCUGAUCCAGCCAUGCCGCGUGAGUGAAGAAGGCCCUAGGGUUGUAAAGCUCUUUCAGAUGUGAAGAUGAUGACGGUAACAUCAGAAGAAGCCCCGGCUAACUUCGUGCCAGCAGCCGCGGUAAUACGAAGGGGGCGAGCGUUGUUCGGAAUCACUGGGCGUAAAGAGUGCGUAGGCGGACAGGCAAGUCAGAUGUGAAAGCCCAGGGCUCAACCCUGGAACUGCAUUUGAAACUGCAAGUCUAGAGUCCGAGAGAGGUAAGUGGAACUCCGAGUGUAGAGGUGAAAUUCGCAGAUAUUCGGAAGAACACCAGUGGCGAAGGCGACUUACUGGAUCGGAACUGACGCUGAGGCACGAAAGCGUGGGGAGCAAACA